UAGGGAAUCUUCCGCAAUGGACGAAAGUCUGACGGAGCAACGCCGCGUGAGCGAAGAAGGCCUUCGGGUCGUAAAGCUCUGUUGUAAGGGAAGAACAAGUGCCAUUUAACUGAUGGCACCUUGACGGUACCUUGCGAGAAAGCCACGGCUAACUACGUGCCAGCAGCCGCGGUAAUACGUAGGUGGCAAGCGUUGUCCGGAUUUAUUGGGCGUAAAGCGCGCGCAGGGCGGUCCUUUAAGUCUGAUGUGAAAGCCCACGGCUCAACCGUGGAGGGUCAUUGGAAACUGGGGGACUUGAGUGCAGAAGAGGAAAGCGGAAUUCCACGUGUAGCGGUGAAAUGCGUAGAGAUGUGGAGGAACACCAGUGGCGAAGGCGGCUUUCUGGUCUGUAACUGACGCUGAGGCGCGAAAGCGUGGGGAGCAAACAGGAUUAGAUACCCUGGUAGUCCACGCCGUAAACGAUGAGUGCUAAGUGUUAGGGGGUUUCCGCCCCUUAGUGCUGCAGCUAACGCAUUAAGC
Molecule: ribosomal RNA, 519 nt
Filed under: uncultured bacterium
Lineage: Bacteria
Description: bacterial SSU rRNA
Rfam family: Bacterial small subunit ribosomal RNA
Source: RNAcentral